GCUGUGAUGGCCGAGUGGUUAAGGCGUUGGACUCGAAAUCCAAUGCGGUCUUCCCGCGCAGGUUCAAACCCUGCUCGCAGCG
This 82-nucleotide transfer RNA is filed under the name Saccoglossus kowalevskii. RNAcentral's name for it is "tRNA-Ser". It matches the Rfam family "tRNA". From Rfam's summary of the family: Transfer RNA (tRNA) molecules are approximately 80 nucleotides in length. The record is from RNAcentral. Lineage: Eukaryota; Metazoa; Hemichordata; Enteropneusta; Harrimaniidae.